This 253-nucleotide ribosomal RNA is filed under the name uncultured bacterium. Its description in RNAcentral is "partial 16S ribosomal RNA". It matches the Rfam family "Bacterial small subunit ribosomal RNA", at positions 524 to 776 of the family's 1533-position model. The record is from RNAcentral.
UACGUAGGGUGCAAGCGUUAAUCGGAAUUACUGGGCGUAAAGCGUGCGCAGGCGGUUCUAUAAGACAGAUGUGAAAUCCCCGGGCUCAACCUGGGAACUGCAUUUGUGACUGUAGAGCUGGAGUACGGCAGAGGGGGAUGGAAUUCCGCGUGUAGCAGUGAAAUGCGUAGAUAUGCGGAGGAACACCGAUGGUGAAGGCAAUCCCCUGGGCCUGUACUGACGCUCAUGCACGAAAGCGUGGGGAGCAAACAGG